UCGAACCAUCUAGUAGCUGG
RNAcentral lists this unclassified non-coding RNA (20 nucleotides) under Chlamydomonas reinhardtii. RNAcentral's name for it is "small RNA Cre_2607". The record is from RNAcentral. Lineage: Eukaryota; Viridiplantae; Chlorophyta; Chlorophyceae; Chlamydomonadales; Chlamydomonadaceae.